GUUAUAUGGUCAAGUGAAGAAGCGCAUACGGUGGAUGCCUUGGCAGUCAGAGGCGAUGAAAGACGUGGUAGCCUGCGAAAAGCUUCGGGGAGUCGGCAAACAGACUUUGAUCCGGAGAUCUCUGAAUGGGGGAACCCACCUAGGAUAACCUAGGUAUCUUGUACUGAAUCCAUAGGUGCAAGAGGCGAACCAGGGGAACUGAAACAUCUAAGUACCCUGAGGAAAAGAAAUCAACCGAGAUUCCCUUAGUAGUGGCGAGCGAACGGGGAUUAGCCCUUAAGCUUCAUUGAUUUUAGCGGAACGCUCUGGAAAGUGCGGCCAUAGUGGGUGAUAGCCCGUACGCGAAAGGAUCUUUGAAGUGAAAUCGAGUAGGACGGAGCACGAGAAACUUUGUCUGAACAUGGGGGGACCAUCCUCCAAGGCUAAAUACUACUGACUGACCGAUAGUGAACCAGUACCGUGAGGGAAAGGCGAAAAGAACCCCGGAGAGGGGAGUGAAAUAGAACCUGAAACCGUAUGCGUACAAGCAGUGGGAGCCUACUUGUUAGGUGACUGCGUACCUUUUGUAUAAUGGGUCAGCGACUUAUAUUCAGUGGCAAGCUUAACCGUAUAGGGUAGGCGUAGCGAAAGCGAGUCUUAAUAGGGCGUUUAGUCGCUGGGUAUAGACCCGAAACCGGGCGAUCUAUCCAUGAGCAGGUUGAAGGUUAGGUAACACUGACUGGAGGACCGAACCCACUCCCGUUGAAAAGGUAGGGGAUGACUUGUGGAUCGGAGUGAAAGGCUAAUCAAGCUCGGAGAUAGCUGGUUCUCCUCGAAAGCUAUUUAGGUAGCGCCUCAUGUAUCACUCUGGGGGGUAGAGCACUGUUUCGGCUAGGGGGUCAUCCCGACUUACCAAACCGAUGCAAACUCCGAAUACCCAGAAGUGCCGAGCAUGGGAGACACACGGCGGGUGCUAACGUCCGUCGUGAAAAGGGAAACAACCCAGACCGCCAGCUAAGGUCCCAAAGUUGUGGUUAAGUGGUAAACGAUGUGGGAAGGCUUAGACAGCUAGGAGGUUGGCUUAGAAGCAGCCAUCCUUUAAAGAAAGCGUAAUAGCUCACUAGUCGAGUCGGCCUGCGCGGAAGAUGUAACGGGGCUCAAACCACACACCGAAGCUGCGGGUGUCACGUAAGUGACGCGGUAGAGGAGCGUUCUGUAAGCCUGUGAAGGUGAGUUGAGAAGCUUGCUGGAGGUAUCAGAAGUGCGAAUGCUGACAUGAGUAACGACAAUGGGUGUGAAAAACACCCACGCCGAAAGACCAAGGGUUCCUGCGCAACGUUAAUCGACGCAGGGUUAGUCGGUUCCUAAGGCGAGGCUGAAAAGCGUAGUCGAUGGGAAACAGGUUAAUAUUCCUGUACUUCUGGUUACUGCGAUGGAGGGACGGAGAAGGCUAGGCCAGCUUGGCGUUGGUUGUCCAAGUUUAAGGUGGUAGGCUGAAAUCUUAGGUAAAUCCGGGGUUUCAAGGCCGAGAGCUGAUGACGAGUCGUCUUUUAGAUGACGAAGUGGUUGAUGCCAUGCUUCCAAGAAAAGCUUCUAAGCUUCAGGUAACCAGGAACCGUACCCCAAACCGACACAGGUGGUCGGGUAGAGAAUACCAAGGCGCUUGAGAGAACUCGGGUGAAGGAACUAGGCAAAAUGGCACCGUAACUUCGGGAGAAGGUGCGCCGGCUAGGGUGAAGGAUUUACUCCGUAAGCUCUGGCUGGUCGAAGAUACCAGGCCGCUGCGACUGUUUAUUAAAAACACAGCACUCUGCAAACACGAAAGUGGACGUAUAGGGUGUGACGCCUGCCCGGUGCCGGAAGGUUAAUUGAUGGGGUUAGCGCAAGCGAAGCUCUUGAUCGAAGCCCCGGUAAACGGCGGCCGUAACUAUAACGGUCCUAAGGUAGCGAAAUUCCUUGUCGGGUAAGUUCCGACCUGCACGAAUGGCGUAACGAUGGCGGCGCUGUCUCCACCCGAGACUCAGUGAAAUUGAAAUCGCUGUGAAGAUGCAGUGUAUCCGCGGCUAGACGGAAAGACCCCGUGAACCUUUACUGUAGCUUUGCACUGGACUUUGAGCCUGCUUGUGUAGGAUAGGUGGGAGGCUUUGAAGCGUGGACGCCAGUUCGCGUGGAGCCAUCCUUGAAAUACCACCCUGGCAUGCUUGAGGUUCUAACUCUGGUCCGUAAUCCGGAUCGAGGACAGUGUAUGGUGGGCAGUUUGACUGGGGCGGUCUCCUCCUAAAGAGUAACGGAGGAGUACGAAGGUGCGCUCAGACCGGUCGGAAAUCGGUCGCAGAGUAUAAAGGCAAAAGCGCGCUUGACUGCGAGACAGACACGUCGAGCAGGUACGAAAGUAGGUCUUAGUGAUCCGGUGGUUCUGUAUGGAAGGGCCAUCGCUCAACGGAUAAAAGGUACUCCGGGGAUAACAGGCUGAUACCGCCCAAGAGUUCAUAUCGACGGCGGUGUUUGGCACCUCGAUGUCGGCUCAUCACAUCCUGGGGCUGAAGCCGGUCCCAAGGGUAUGGCUGUUCGCCAUUUAAAGUGGUACGCGAGCUGGGUUUAGAACGUCGUGAGACAGUUCGGUCCCUAUCUGCCGUGGACGUUUGAGAUUUGAGAGGGGCUGCUCCUAGUACGAGAGGACCGGAGUGGACGAACCUCUGGUGUUCCGGUUGUCACGCCAGUGGCAUUGCCGGGUAGCUAUGUUCGGAAAAGAUAACCGCUGAAAGCAUCUAAGCGGGAAACUUGCCUCAAGAUGAGAUCUCACUGGGAACUUGAUUCCCCUGAAGGGCCGUCGAAGACUACGACGUUGAUAGGCUGGGUGUGUAAGCGUUGUGAGGCGUUGAGCUAACCAGUACUAAUUGCCCGUGAGGCUUGACCAUAUAACACCCAAACA
RNAcentral lists this ribosomal RNA (2911 nucleotides) under Pseudomonas aeruginosa. RNAcentral describes it as "bacterial LSU rRNA". It matches the Rfam family "Bacterial large subunit ribosomal RNA". The record is from RNAcentral. Lineage: Bacteria; Pseudomonadati; Pseudomonadota; Gammaproteobacteria; Pseudomonadales; Pseudomonadaceae.